This 613-nucleotide ribosomal RNA is filed under the name Wickerhamiella sp. RNAcentral describes it as "partial 26S ribosomal RNA". It matches the Rfam family "Eukaryotic large subunit ribosomal RNA", at positions 68 to 632 of the family's 3401-position model. The record is from RNAcentral. Lineage: Eukaryota; Fungi; Ascomycota; Dipodascomycetes; Dipodascales; Trichomonascaceae.
CCACUGUAUUCCUUAGUACGGCGAGUGACCGGGAAAAGCUCAAAUUUGAAAUCUGCCAACAGGCCGAGUUGUAAUUUGUAGAUGGCUACACUGCAUAAUAGUAGAUGCUCAAGUUCUUUGGAAAAAGACAUCAUGGAGGGUGACAAUCCCGUGAGGCAUGUUACUAGGAGCGUAUAGUGGGCUUUCUAAGAGUCGAGUUGUUUGGGAAUGCAGCUCAAAGUGCGUGGUGAAUACCAUGUAAAGCUAAAUAUGGACGAGAGACCGAUAGCGAACAAGUACUGUGAAGGAAAGAUGAAAAGCACUCCGAAAGGAGAGUGAAAUAGUACGUGAAAUUGUUAAAGUGGAAGGGCUUGAGAUCAGAAUUGGUAGUUUGGGUUCCACGUCCUCUUGGGGGCGUGUACUCCCUUUCGACCGGGCCACCGGGAGUUUUGUCGCUUGCGUCUAAACAUUGUAAUAUAGCACAUGUCGUAUUAUAAAUUCUGCUUUUCCACGUGUCCUCGAGGCUAUAAUGGAAACCUCGAUGAUCUCUACUCACCCAAAAAAACGAUAAAAAAAAGUAAAAUAAUUAGUGACGAAGGAAAGGAGGAAAAAAGAAAAGAAGGAGAAGAAAGAA